This 327-nucleotide ribosomal RNA is filed under the name uncultured eukaryote. Its description in RNAcentral is "partial 18S ribosomal RNA". It matches the Rfam family "Eukaryotic small subunit ribosomal RNA", at positions 1470 to 1796 of the family's 1831-position model. The record is from RNAcentral.
CCCUUAGAUGUUCUGGGCCGCACGCGCGCUACACUGACGAAUGCAACGAGCUUAUAACCUUGGCCGAAAGGUCUGGGUAAUCUCCAAAUUUCGUCGUGAUGGGGAUAGAUUAUUGCAAUUAUUAAUCUUCAACGAGGAAUGCCUAGUAAGCGCAAGUCAUCAGCUUGCGUUGAUUACGUCCCUGCCCUUUGUACACACCGCCCGUCGCUCCUACCGAUUGAAUGGUCCGGUGAAGCGUUCGGACCGUGGCCUUUGGACGGUUCGCCGUCUGUUGGCUGCGGGAAGUUCGUUAAACCUUAUCACUUAGAGGAAGGACAAGUCGUAACA